AUUAAACGGCCGCGGUACCCUAACCGUGCAAAGGUAGCGUAAUCAUUUGUCUACUAAUUAUAGACCUGUAUGAAAGGCAAAAUGAGGGUCCAACUGUCUCUUAUAAUAAAUCAAUUAAACUGAUCUCCUAGUAAAAAAGCUAGAAUUCACACAUAAGACCAGAAGACCCUGUGAAGCUUAAACUAAACUAUUAAACCACGUAAUAACUACUUUCGGUUGGGGCGACCUUGGAAAAAAAAAGAACUUCCAAAUACAUGAAUUUACCUCUAACACUACAAAGGCCUACUAGCCACUAAAUGACCCAGCAAAGCUGAUAAAUGAACCAAGUUACUCCAGGGAUAACAGCGCAAUCUUCUUCAAGAGCCCAUAUCAAAAAGAAGGUUUACGACCUCGAUGUUGGAUCAGGACAUCCUAAUGGUGCAGCCGCUAUUAAAGGUUCGUUCGUUCAACGAUUAACAGUCCUACGUGAUCUGAGUC
This 477-nucleotide ribosomal RNA is filed under the name Gonyosoma prasinum (Green trinket snake). Its description in RNAcentral is "partial large subunit ribosomal RNA". It matches the Rfam family "Bacterial large subunit ribosomal RNA", at positions 1922 to 2611 of the family's 2925-position model. Lineage: Eukaryota; Metazoa; Chordata; Lepidosauria; Squamata; Colubridae. The record is from RNAcentral.